AAUAAUGGGAGAUGAAUGAGCUACACCUACCUUCACUCAAAAAUCUCUCUCUCUCUCAUAUACACUGCAUAUACUUGAUUCAUCACAACACAAACACAAAGAGCCACAAGUUGUGACCAGUUAAACACCUUGAUUCUUCAACACUCAGAUUUGUUGUUACAUCUUUCUCUCUCUCAUAUACUGGAUCCUUCAUAUGGCUGUAGAUGCAGUUGCAUCUGUGGUUCUGGAGAAACUACAAGUGAUGCUAAGUGAUAAGUCCUUGUCGGGAAACAAGAUUAUCAGGCGUCGCCUCAAUCGGAUGCAGGAGAUCCUCGGCUUGGUUGGAGCUGCAAAUGAUCAAGAUAUCAACAAACUCUACCUGCCUAUCUCUACUCCAUCGAAGACUCCAUUGAGUCCUUCACCCGCCAGAGGAACAAGCUGGAGUUCCUCAUCAAUUAUGCUCUCCUCCUCAAAAAAAUCACAGCUCGCAAAAUGCUCGACUCCAAACUCUCCAAUAUUCAGACACAGGUUAUGAAGCUCAACAAUCGUACAAGCAGCCUUGAAAGCAUCAGCAGCACUCCAACAAACAGAGAUACAAGACCAGAGAUAAAACAGACUCCACUUUCUUCCAUUCAAGAAGAAACUCAAGGUCUCAAAUCAAGUAUGAAGCGUACAAUGAGCAGUCCCGCUGUUGGAAACAUACAAGAAAGGCCAACAGAUCUACGCAGGAACCAGUCCUUCAGAAUGCUCUCACGCAGUAAUGCCUCAAUGAUACGAGAAAGGUGGAAGCAUUCGAAGCUCAUGUAUAGUUACUCCUACAAUGAGGAAGAACUAUCCAUGGUCGGAUACCAAUGCAAGGUGAUAGAUCUCCGGCAUAGGCUGGAGAAAUCGGAUGACAGGAUAAUCCCCAUUGUAGGCGAACUGGGCUCAGGAAAGACAAUGCUGGCUCGUGCCAUCUAUGGCAACAGAAGCAUCAAAAACAUGUUCAAGCCUGCUGCUUGGGCAAACAUUUUCAAGGAAUCUAUGACGACGGAUAUCUUGCUGGCCUUGCUGAACCAAGUGAAGAAAUCGGAAGUGCAAGAUGGGAGCAAUGAGGAAUACCUCAAAAGCAGGCUCGUGCAGGAACUGACUGGUCGGAGAUACUUGGUGGUGUUGGAUGGAGUUCAGACUCGGGAGCAAUGGGACAGGCUUAAAGAUGCUUUCCCAGAUCAACAAAAUGGGAGCAAGAUAAUUCUUACCACUUUUGAUGAGCGAGUAGCAGAGCAUGCCGAUUCAAAGAGACAGGUGUAUAAUUUGGAGAAGCUGAACCCUGAAGAGAGCUGGAGUUUGUUCAUGAGAAAGGUGGGCUCACAAAAUGAUCCAGAAAAUUUUCUCAAGGAGAAAAUUAUUAAUGUUUGCCAGGGGCUGCCCUUGAAUAUUGUUCUUCUCGGCAGUCUGUUGUCGAUGAAGAGCAGAGGGGAGUGGUCCGAAACGCUCAAGAGCGACAAAGAAUGGCGAGCCUCAGACAUUAUGAAGUUGAGCUACAGUGAUCUGGAUCACCAUUUGAAACUGUGUCUCAUCUAUAUGACACUGUUUCCCAAAGAACUAGACAUUCCAGUGAGGAGGUUGCAACGCUUGUGGCUUGCUGAGGGAUUUGUAAAACCACAGAAACAUGGAGAGUUCCCAGAAGAUGCGGCGCAAGGGUAUUUCGAAAAUCUGGUCAAACGCAGCUUGAUAAUGGUGUCCAAACAACGCUCAGAUGGAAGCCCCAGAAGGUGCCGGUUGCAAGGCGCCCUCCACGACCUCUUGUUGGAGCAGGCGCGAGAUAUCCGCCUUUUCCACGUUCAUCCUGGAUCCGAUGAUAUGCGUAGGCUCAUCGAAUAUGCUGAUGCCCGAAUGUCCGCUUAGCCUUCCCAAAUUCAACAUGUGAGGUCUUACAUAUCUUUCAACCUACAGAAAAAGGAUACUCCAGCAAAGCAUGUGAGCUCUCUUGUAAGCAAAUGGGCAAAAGGCUGGCUGCUGAGGGUUCUUGAUCUUGAGGGAGUGUACAAGCCUAGUUUGCCUGAUAAUCUAGGCGACUUGUUUCAUUUGAGGUACUUGGGAUUGAGGUGGACUUUCUUGGACAAGCUUCCCAAAUCUGUAGGUCAACUCCCUCAUCUCCAAACAUUAGACCUGAAGCAUACAUGCAUAGACAAAAUCCCAACCACUGUUUGGAAACUGAAAAAUCUCCAGCAUCUCAAUCUUGAUGAAGUUCAUCUAGACAAGGAUACGCCUCUGCACUUCCCCGACCUCCUCACACUCUGGGGAUUAUCAGUCAGCCAUGAGGCCCCAAUCACAGAUGGUUUGAGCAAAUUGAAACACCUAAGAGAAUUAGGCAUUUCUUUACGCUUCAUCAAGCGCAGCGACGAUAUUGUCCAAGACAAAGGUCAAGCUACAGAAGCUUUGGUGAAGUGGAUUUCCGAGCUAACAGAUCUUCGAUCAUUGAGGUUGCGAUCCAAAGAUGAUUCUGGGAACCCUUCAAGUCUUAGUUUAAAGCCGUUUUCACGCUUGGGAAAACUCUCUCAUAUGAAGUUACUCGGGAAGUUGCAACAACUCCCUCGCGCGGAUCACUUCCCACCUCAUAUUAAAGUUCUCACAUUAUCAUUGUCUUUUCUGUCCGAAGAUCCCAUGCCGAUCCUUGGACAGCUCCCGGAUUUUAACAGUUUUGAGGCUGCUUGCUAACUCAUACCUUGGAGAGAAAAUGCUCUGCUCAGCUGACACUUUUAAGAAUCUUGAGGUUCUAAAACUCUGGGUGCUCGAAGAUCUCAAGGAAUGGGAAGUCGAAGACGGCGCAAUGAAGAAACUCAAAGAGGUCAACAUCAGAAGGUGUUCCAAACUGGAAAACUUCCCAAGCAGCUUGUUGAAGCAGGAAACUUUCCGAGAUUUGAUCUUAAACAACAUGCCCCCUGCAUUCAAGGAAAAAAUUGACAACAAUUAUCAGUUCAAGGUCUCCACCAAAGAUUUCCAACGACAUCUCAGAGCUCAAGAUUAGGAUGAUUGUCGACAACACUACCAGCCCAACCAAGGAAAACGAAGACCCACGUUGCACCAAGCCCACUCGAGUAACCAAACUUCCCACCAAGCUCAAGGAUUACACUUUAUGAUGAAAAAUAUCUAUUGGUCCCCCUCCUCCCUCUGAAAGUUGUUGUUAUGGCAGGCUAGCUGUCUUUUGUUUUUAGCUUAACCAAAGGCCUGUGUGCCAUUAAUAUGUCUUUCUACUCUAGUUUGCUUUCUCAAUCAAUGNACACUUUAUGAUGAAAAAUAUCUAUUGGUCCCCUCCUCCCUCUGAAAGUUGUUGUUAUGGCAGGCUAGCUGUCUUUUGUUUUUAGCUUAACCAAAGGCCUGUGUGCCAUUAAUAUGUCUCUACUCUAGUUUGCUUUCUCAAUCAAUGAAAAACUGAGUUGUUGUUCUGAAUUUCUCUGUGCUUUCUUUCUUUUGGGAGUCAGAGUUCACUCGAAGAACUCAUAUUUGAUUAAGAGUGUAUCAGAUUGUUUGAAGGAUGUAAUGUUAUUGAUUUAAUGAGUGUUUUAAAAAUCAUAUUGUUUGAAUGAAUUUUUUUCCACAAGAUAAAUGUAAUGAGUUCUACACAUAGUGAUUCCUUUUUAGUUUCUAUAAACUGAACUAAAAAACACAGUCCUAAAUUCAAGUUAGAGAAACAGUUAUUUUGUAUUCAGAAUUCAACUUUCAUCUAAUUUAUUGUGCACCACAUCAUAUGUGUGUGUGUAAGGUAAGGAUCAUAAGAUAUUGAACAGAGAAGAGGAUAUGGCUGUCGCUAAUAAACUCUAAUUCGCUGAUUGCUAUAAGAUAUAAGCCAUAUAACACCCACUGAACAAACAACUUUUCAGACUAACAAACUAAGACGCUUCCAUUAACAAAGGAGAGGUCUAAGAUUUCACAAAAUGCUCUCUUGUCCGCAAUCAAUCAAACAAACGAAAAUUAGAAGACUGUAAGAAAUGCACCAUACAUUACAGACAGCUACAUUAAAUGAUUCUAUCAAACAGCUGGUGUGUGCAAUGUUUGUAUAUUUAGUUUUUCACAUAUGUUAUGCAACUAGAAGUUCAUGUUUAUUUUAAUGGAAUUACCUCUCAGUUGACAAAUAAUUAACACAACAUAAAAUGAAUAUGUUUUAAAUCUCAAGUCUUUGGAUCAAUCGACAUGCAUUUUAUCUUAAAAGUUCAUGUUUAUUAGGCAAACGCAACCUAAUGAAAUAGCUGGCAAAUUUGACAUACAUGUCUUUUCACCUUUGUCUCGAUCAGUUCAUCUUUUUUUUUUCAUUCACUUUUUAUUUAUCCGUGGAGAUAGGCAGAAUAUGUCAAAAUCUCUUAUAGAGAGGUGAGAUUUUUUGAUAGGUUUCAUAUUUAUAUUUGUAUAAUAAAAUCCUACAAAUUUUCAAUAUCACUAAAUUUUGAUGGAUAUUUAAGAGUCAUAAUUGAAUACCAACAAAUUUUUAAGGACUUUCUAAAAUCUAAAUUGAAUACCUAUAAACUUUUGAAAUACAAAAAAAAUCUUUUAAAUUCUGAAUUGAAUACACCCCUAAAUGCGAGCUGUACUCACGAUCACAAAUGACCUCGACAUAAAUACGUAGUAUAUCAAAAUAAUUAUAAAAUUAAAAUAAAAAUGUUAUGUUUGUAAAGUGUGCAAUCUUUAAGUAUUUAUUUUUUACCUCAUCCCAUUAACAAAUUUUGAAUGAAGAUGAACCAAAUCGAGUAUUUAUUCCAUAAAUAUGCAAAUAAAUUACUACAAAGCAAAUGAUGUAGAAUAAGAUGAGCAGUUAUUGAUUGCAUAUGAAUGGUAAUAAAUCAGGGCCAAGUAAAUCGUUUGACCCAUUUAAUGGGAGGAUUCUCUCCCGAAAAAUAGAUACCGUCGCUUCUAGCAGUCCAAUAGCAAGUAAAAGACGUGCAAUCCAAUCGCGACCUCGAUUUAUAGACAUCCACGCUCACGUAUUUUGAGUUCCAUGUAAAUCCGCAAUGAAACAAAGUUUUGUGGAAAAAGUUUCGCAGAAUUGGAAUUUGUAAUAAUUUUGGCGUAGAGCGUAUGAUUUCCGAGGUCGUCGUCUUUAGAGGCACAAUGCAGCAGCAGUUUACUGNCCAAACAACGCUCAGAUGGAAGCCCCAGAAGGUGCCGGUUGCAAGGCGCCCUCCACGACCUCUUGUUGGAGCAGGCGCGAGAGAUCCGCCUUUUCCACGUUCAUCCUGGAUCCGAUGAUAUGCGUAGGCUCAUCGAAUAUGCUGAUGCCCGCAAUGCUCCGCUUCAGCCUUCCCAAAUUCAACAUGUGAGGUCUUACAUAUCUUUCAACCUACAGAAAAAGGAUACUCCAGCAAAGCAUGUGAGCUCUCUUGUAAGCAACAUGGGCAAAAGGCUGGGCCUGCUGAGGGUUCUUGAUCUUGAGGGAGUGUACAAGCCUAGUUUGCCUGAUAAUCUAGGCGACUUGUUUCAUUUGAGGUACUUGGGAUUGAGGUGGACUUUCUUGGACAAGCUUCCCAAAUCUGUAGGUCAACUCCCUCAUCUCCAAACAUUAGACCUGAAGCAUACAUGCAUAGACAAAAUCCCAACCACUGUUUGGAAACUGAAAAAUCUCCAGCAUCUCAAUCUUGAUGAAGUUCAUCUAGACAAGGAUACGCCUCUGCACUUCCCCGACCUCCUCACACUCUGGGGAUUAUCAGUCAGCCAUGAGGCCCCAAUCACAGAUGGUUUGAGCAAAUUGAAACACCUAAGAGAAUUAGGCAUUUCUUUACGCUUCAUCAAGCGCAGCGACGAUAUUGUCCAAGACAAAGGUCAAGCUACAGAAGCUUUGGUGAAGUGGAUUUCCGAGCUAACAGAUCUUCGAUCAUUGAGGUUGCGAUCCAAAGAUGAUUCUGGGAACCCUUCAAGUCUUAGUUUAAAGCCGUUUUCACGCUUGGGAAAACUCUCUCAUAUGAAGUUACUCGGGAAGUUGCAACAACUCCCUCGCGCGGAUCACUUCCCACCUCAUAUUAAAGUUCUCACAUUAUCAUUGUCUUUUCUGUCCGAAGAUCCCAUGCCGAUCCUUGGACAGCUCCCGGAUUUAACAGUUUUGAGGCUGCUUGCUAACUCAUACCUUGGAGAGAAAAUGCUCUGCUCAGCUGACACUUUUAAGAAUCUUGAGGUUCUAAAACUCUGGGUGCUCGAAGAUCUCAAGGAAUGGGAAGUCGAAGACGGCGCAAUGAAGAAACUCAAAGAGGUCAACAUCAGAAGGUGUUCCAAACUGGAAAACUUCCCAAGCAGCUUGUUGAAGCAGGAAACUUUCCGAGAUUUGAUCUUAAACAACAUGCCCCCUGCAUUCAAGGAAAAAAUUGACAACAAUUAUCAGUUCAAGGUCUCCACCAAAGAUUUCCAACGACAUCUCAGAGCUCAAGAUUAGGAUGAUUGUCGACAACACUACCAGCCCAACCAAGGAAAACGAAGACCCACGUUGCACCAAGCCCACUCGAGUAACCAAACUUCCCACCAAGCUCAAGGAUUACACUUUAUGAUGAAAAAUAUCUAUUGGUCCCCUCCUCCCUCUGAAAGUUGUUGUUAUGGCAGGCUAGCUGUCUUUUGUUUUUAGCUUAACCAAAGGCCUGUGUGCCAUUAAUAUGUCUCUACUCUAGUUUGCUUUCUCAAUCAAUGAAAAUCGAGUAUUUAUUCCAUAAAUAUGCAAAUAAAUUACUACAAAGCAAAUGAUGUAGAAUAAGAUGAGCAGUUAUUGAUUGCA
This 6709-nucleotide long non-coding RNA is filed under the name Salvia miltiorrhiza (redroot sage). Its description in RNAcentral is "long non-coding RNA (SMIL_LNC006777)". The record is from RNAcentral. Lineage: Eukaryota; Viridiplantae; Streptophyta; Magnoliopsida; Lamiales; Lamiaceae.